RNAcentral lists this small nucleolar RNA (84 nucleotides) under Procavia capensis (Cape rock hyrax). Its description in RNAcentral is "Small nucleolar RNA Me28S-U3344 (ENSPCAG00000020510.1)". The record is from RNAcentral. Lineage: Eukaryota; Metazoa; Chordata; Mammalia; Hyracoidea; Procaviidae.
AUCUUUUAUAAGACAUUUUCAAUUCUAGAGAAGAAGAGCAAAAGACAUGAUGGGAUACACUAAAAACAACCAGCUGAAAAAGGU